GGGUCAGUAGGUUGGUCGUGCCACCGGUACGUACUGGUCUCACUGAUUCCUCCUUCCUGAAGGACCGUAAUGCCAUUAAUUUGGUGUUGCGGGGAAACAGGACUGUUACUUUGAAAAAAUUAGAGUGUUUAAAGCAAGCUAACGCUUGAAUACAUUAGCAUGGAAUAAUGAAAUAGGACGAUCGAUCCAAUUUUGUUGGUUUCUAGGAUUGACGUA
Molecule: ribosomal RNA, 216 nt
Filed under: Glomeromycotina sp.
Lineage: Eukaryota; Fungi; Glomeromycota
Description: partial small subunit ribosomal RNA
Rfam family: Eukaryotic small subunit ribosomal RNA (bases 40-216)
Source: RNAcentral